UGCGUACUCCCUCCGUCCGAAAAAAGCUUGUCCCAAGCUUGUCUCUCAAAUGGAUGUAUCUAGCACUAACUCGGUGCUAGAUACAUCCAUUUGAGGGACAAGCUUUUUCAGGCGGAGGGAGUAUCUC
Molecule: non-coding RNA, 127 nt
Organism: Triticum urartu
Lineage: Eukaryota; Viridiplantae; Streptophyta; Magnoliopsida; Poales; Poaceae
Source: Rfam